AAUCCAUAGAGAGAGAUUGAAGGACAGGCCUUGUGAUAUCUCAGCAACCUACCUUAUGGUGUGGUGCUAAUUCCUGAUAGAUGGUAA
This 87-nucleotide non-coding RNA is filed under the name Fusobacterium mortiferum. Its description in RNAcentral is "SAM-I sequence". It matches the Rfam family "SAM riboswitch aptamer (S box leader)". Rfam says of the family: The SAM riboswitch is found upstream of a number of genes which code for proteins involved in methionine or cysteine biosynthesis in Gram-positive bacteria. The SAM riboswitch acts at the level of transcription termination control. The predicted structure consists of a complex stem-loop region followed by a single stem loop terminator region. Lineage: Bacteria; Fusobacteriati; Fusobacteriota; Fusobacteriia; Fusobacteriales; Fusobacteriaceae. The record is from RNAcentral.